RNAcentral lists this ribosomal RNA (420 nucleotides) under uncultured bacterium. Its description in RNAcentral is "bacterial SSU rRNA". It matches the Rfam family "Bacterial small subunit ribosomal RNA", at positions 360 to 772 of the family's 1533-position model. The record is from RNAcentral.
AAUUUUGGACAAUGGGCGCAAGCCUGAUUCAGCCAUGCCGCGUGCGGGAAGAAGGCCUUCGGGUUGUAAACCGCUUUUGUCAGGGAAGAAACGCUCUGGGCUAAUACCCCGGGGUAAUGACUGUACCCCGCGAAUAAGCCCCGGCUAACUCUGUGCCAGCAGCCGCGGUAAUACAGAGGGGGCAAGCGUUGUCCGGAUUUACUGGGCGUACAGCGCGCGCAGGCGGUUGCGUAUGUGACCGGUGACAUCCGUGGGCUCAACCCACGGCGGCCCGGUUACACAGCGCGACUGGAGGCAGGGAGAGGGAUGUGGAAUACCCGGUGGAGCGGUGAAAUGCGUAGAGAUCGGGUGGAACACCAGCGGCGAAGGCGGCAUCCUGGCCCUGAACUGACGCUGAGGCGCGAUAGCGUGGGGAGCAAA